RNAcentral lists this ribosomal RNA (253 nucleotides) under uncultured bacterium. RNAcentral describes it as "partial 16S ribosomal RNA". It matches the Rfam family "Bacterial small subunit ribosomal RNA", at positions 524 to 776 of the family's 1533-position model. The record is from RNAcentral.
UACGGGGGGGGCAAGCGUUGUUCGGAAUUACUGGGCGUAAAGGGCUCGUAGGUGGCCAACUAAGUCAGAGGUGAAAUCCCUCGGCUUAACCGGGGAACUGCGUCUGAUACUGGAUGGCUUGAGGUUGGGAGAGGGAUGCGGAAUUCCAGGUGUAGCGGUGAAAUGCGUAGAUAUCUGGAGGAACACCGAUGGCGAAGGCGGCAUCCUGGGCCAAUUCUGACGCUGAGGAGCGAAAGCCAGGGGAGCAAACGGG